This 465-nucleotide ribosomal RNA is filed under the name uncultured Klebsiella sp. Its description in RNAcentral is "bacterial SSU rRNA". It matches the Rfam family "Bacterial small subunit ribosomal RNA", at positions 338 to 795 of the family's 1533-position model. Lineage: Bacteria; Pseudomonadati; Pseudomonadota; Gammaproteobacteria; Enterobacterales; Enterobacteriaceae. The record is from RNAcentral.
CCUACGGGUGGCUGCAGUGGGGAAUAUUGCACAAUGGGCGCAAGCCUGAUGCAGCCAUGCCGCGUGUGUGAAGAAGGCCUUCGGGUUGUAAAGCACUUUCAGCGGGGAGGAAGGCGUUAAGGUUAAUAACCUUGGCGCUCGACGUUACCCGCAGAAGAAGCACCGGCUAACUCCGUGCCAGCAGCCGCGGUAAUACGGAGGGUGCAAGCGUUAAUCGGAAUUACUGGGCGUAAAGCGCACGCAGGCGGUCUGUCAAGUCGGAUGCGAAAUCCCCGGGCUCAACCUGGGAACUGUAUUCGAAACUGGCAGGCUAGAGUCUUGUAGAGGGGGGUAGAAUUCCAGGUGUAGCGGUGAAAUGCGUAGAGAUCUGGAGGAAUACCGGUGGCGAAGGUGGCCCCCUGGACAAAGACUGACGCUCAGGUGCGAAAGCGUGGGGAGCAAACAGGAUUAGAUACCCCUGUAGUC